CUCAGAAGCUAAGCAGGGUCGGGCCUGGUUAGUACUUGGGAGACCGCCUGGGAACACCGGGUGCUGUUGGCU
This 72-nucleotide ribosomal RNA is filed under the name Gorilla gorilla gorilla (western lowland gorilla). Lineage: Eukaryota; Metazoa; Chordata; Mammalia; Primates; Hominidae. The record is from RNAcentral.